RNAcentral lists this transfer-messenger RNA (352 nucleotides) under Emcibacter nanhaiensis. RNAcentral describes it as "Alphaproteobacteria transfer-messenger RNA". It matches the Rfam family "Alphaproteobacteria transfer-messenger RNA". From Rfam's summary of the family: Bacterial tmRNA, also known as 10Sa RNA or SsrA, is named for its dual tRNA and mRNA-like properties. Its role is to liberate the mRNA from a stalled ribosome. To accomplish this part of the tmRNA is used as a reading frame that ends in a translation stop signal. Lineage: Bacteria; Pseudomonadati; Pseudomonadota; Alphaproteobacteria; Emcibacterales; Emcibacteraceae. The record is from Rfam by way of RNAcentral.
GCUAUUUAAAUUUUAACCCGCAAUCCCUAUAUUAGGGAUGUUGGGCAACCAACUAUGGCAAUAAACGAGCCUAUGGAAUAGACGUUUCGGACCCGGGGGCGGUACCCGGCGCCUCCACCAUAAGAAUAAUGUUCCUUAUUCGUGUUUAAAGACCGGUUUUGAGCAUGUUUUUAUGAUGGGGGCGAAAUUAGGAUCGACGUGCGUGAUAAAGAUAGUCUUUUUGCCCAGCAUGAUACCGCUGUGACGGGUCAAACUUGAUAAAUGCUAACGAUAACGAAGCAUUUGCUGUAGCAGCUUAAUAGCAUACGCUACGCGGGGUUCGAAGGGCACCUAGCAACAGAAGCCCUUCACU